Long non-coding RNA from Capsicum annuum, 2259 nucleotides. RefSeq lists it as uncharacterized. The record is from RefSeq and is a predicted model, not a curated record. Lineage: Eukaryota; Viridiplantae; Streptophyta; Magnoliopsida; Solanales; Solanaceae. The transcript is spliced from 3 exons.
UUAUCAAGAAGUGAUACGGAAAUCAAGUUCUUUCUUAACUUCGAUACAUAAAGGACAUUGUUGAGAGUCUAACAUUUUGUCUGAUGUCAUUUUCAAGCAGACUUUUUCUGUCCUUUCAACUUUUGCAGUUGCGGAGUUUGCCAUAUAGAUCUUCUCUUCGCCUUGAGUCAGAGCAAAUACAGCAAACAACUCUUUAUUUGCACAAACGUGACGGGUGGCACCAUAAUCCAUCCACCAUUCUCGAUGAUUUCCCACUAGGUUACAUUCAGAAAGCAUAGCAAAUAGAUCGUCUAUUUCGUUCUUGAAUUUAUCCAUAUUUUUUUUAUCCUUCUUUUUGUCUUUCUUUGGGGCACGACAAUCUGUAGACUUGUGGCCAAUCUUGCCACAAUUAAAGCAUUUUCCUUUAAAUUUCUUCUUAGGCUGAUUGCUUUGUUGUCCAGCUUUCUUCCGCUUCUUUGAUUUGUUGGGGUCGUAUUUUCUACAAUAUUAACUCCACUCAUUGUAGAAUUUCUUUUAGACCUCCUCUCUGCGGCUUUGUUGUCUUCCUAAAUGCGCAACCUCAUAAUGAGGUCUUCGACUGUUAUCUCCUUUCGUUUGUGUUUCAAGUAAUUCUUGAAGUCCUUCCACAAAGGUGGUAACUUCUCUAUUAUUGCAGCUACUUGAAAUGCCUCGUUCACAACCAAACCUACGACAAAGUUCAUGUGAACAUUAAGAACAUUUUUAACUUGUUCAAUUAAGGUAUUCAGUAAAUUCAUACCUUCAGCAAGGAGAUCGUGGAUGAUGAUUUACAAUUCCUGUACUUGAGAAACGACAGUCUUGCUGUCAAUCAUUUUGUACUCAAAAAAUCGUGCAACAAAGAACUUCUUGGUUCCCCCAUCCUCAGUCUUAUAUUUCUUUUCCAACGCAUUCCACAAUUCUUUUAGAUGUUUUCAUUCUGCUGUAAAUACUGUAUAAGUCAUCUUGGAGGCCACUUAGGAUAUAGUUCCUACAUAGGAAAUUAAAAUGUAUCCAUGCCUCUGUUACAAUUAACCGCUCCGUGUCCAAAUGUAACACCCCAUACUUUCGGGCUAGAAUUUAGACCAUCGUUCCUAUGUGUAUAGACCCAAACUAAGUGAUUCCUUGUUAAUGCACGUGUGGUGAUCAAUCCAAUAGUGUGUGAAUACCUUUUAAUAUGAAUUGAGGUCAUAAGAAUCCCCUAACUCUAGGAUGAGUUGAAAAACUAUUUCAUCGAUUAAGUUUUAGUGGACACUCCAACUUGGGUCAAAUUUCGUCGACCAUAACUUCCUGUAUAUAACUAACCAGGAGUCCUGCUAUAUAUCAAAUGAAAGUUCUUUGAGUCCUCUUUCCAACGCAGCUGAUUUCGUCCAAAUCCAACAUCGGAGUAAAACGUUAUACCCAAUUUACUUCAGCAUAUUAGUCUGUCAACUGAGGGACUGCUGCGACUUUUUUUAUUUCCUGAGGGGUAUUUGGGUAUUUUCCCCACCCCAAACUUUUUCAACACAAUUUAAAUUAUCCAAAACAUUCUAUAGUUCAUUUCUUUUAUCAUUUUUAAAAUCUCAAUUCCUCUCCUCUCACAAGAACAAAAUUGAAACUAGGCUUUCCUUCAAGAUCAAGAAUCAAUCUCUUAAGUCCAAGAUUUUCAAAAAACAGAUCAAGAUUCGAGUUCUACUCUUCAAACCUUGUAAUCUAAGGAUUCGAGGCACAAUCCCGCAGUACCAUACAACAGUAGAUUCGUGUGUCAGAAGUUACAGUUGUUUAUAUAUGAAGAUGCAUCGGAUGAAGGUGAGAAGGCUUAUUGGAGGCAAAGUUAAAUAAAGUCAAAUUGCAUAACUUUACAUGUAUGGAGCAAGAAAAGUUAAGAAACUACUCUUUAACAAAUGCAGACAUCUUGGAUGAAGAAGAGAAGCCUUGUUGUGCAUCUCUACCAUGGAAUUGUUGGAGGCAUAAGUUAAAGGAAGUCAAAUUGAGAAACUUUACAUGUGUGGUCUGUGGAGCAAGAGAAGUUGAGAAACUACUUUAUCGCAAAUGCAGACAUUUCGGAGAUGGUUAAGAUCAGCCUUGACUAGUCCAAAUAAAUUUGCUUUACAGAGUAAAUUGAACAUUUGCUAAAGUAAGUAUCUUGAAGUUCAUUCAUUAUUGUCGAAACUUGUUAGAAAAACAUACGAGUAUGCAUCGCAAUAUCCAGGUGGAUAUAUGUGUUACAAAAUAAGAAUUGGAUCAUUGUCUUUUCAUCUGUAUGAUAUGGCGGUUUAUCUUCAA